This 197-nucleotide ribosomal RNA is filed under the name uncultured bacterium. Its description in RNAcentral is "partial 16S ribosomal RNA". It matches the Rfam family "Bacterial small subunit ribosomal RNA", at positions 328 to 539 of the family's 1533-position model. The record is from RNAcentral.
ACGCUCGACACCUACAGGAGGCAGCAGUGGGGAAUAUUGCACAAUGGGGGAAACCCUGAUGCAGCGACGCCGCGUGAGCGAAGAAGUAUUUCGGUAUGUAAAGCUCUAUCAGCAGGGAAGAAACUGACGGUACCUGACUAAGAAGCACCGGCUAAAUACGUGCCAGCAGCCCGGUAAUCUGAGCGGGCUGGCAAGGC